AGGAAUCUGCCUAUUAGUGGGGGACAACAUUUCGAAAGGAAUGCUAAUACCGCAUACGUCCUACGGGAGAAAGCAGGGGAUCUUCGGACCUUGCGCUAAUAGAUGAGCCUAAGUCGGAUUAGCUAGUUGGUGGGGUAAAGGCCUACCAAGGCGACGAUCUGUAGCGGGUCUGAGAGGAUGAUCCGCCACACUGGGACUGAGACACGGCCCAGACUCCUACGGGAGGCAGCAGUGGGGAAUAUUGGACAAUGGGCGCAAGCCUGAUCCAGCCAUGCCGCGUGUGUGAAGAAGGCCUUAUGGUUGUAAAGCACUUUAAGCGAGGAGGAGGCUACUGAAGUUAAUACCUUCAGAUAGUGGACGUUACUCGCAGAAUAAGCACCGGCUAACUCUGUGCCAGCAGCCGCGGUAAUACAGAGGGUGCAAGCGUUAAUCGGAUUUACUGGGCGUAAAGCGCGCGUAGGCGGCUAAUUAAGUCAAAUGUGAAAUCCCCGAGCUUAACUUGGGAAUUGCAUUCGAUACUGGUUAGCUAGAGUCUUGUAGAGGGGGGUAGAAUUCCAGGU
Molecule: ribosomal RNA, 560 nt
Filed under: uncultured bacterium
Lineage: Bacteria
Description: bacterial SSU rRNA
Rfam family: Bacterial small subunit ribosomal RNA
Source: RNAcentral